AACGAACGCUGGCGGCAUGCCUAACACAUGCAAGUCGAACGAGACCUUCGGGUCUAGUGGCGCACGGGUGCGUAACGCGUGGGAAUCUGCCCUUGGGUUCGGAAUAACAGUUGGAAACGACUGCUAAUACCGGAUGAUGACGUAAGUCCAAAGAUUUAUCGCCCAAGGAUGAGCCCGCGUAGGAUUAGCUAGUUGGUGAGGUAAAGGCUCACCAAGGCGACGAUCCUUAGCUGGUCUGAGAGGAUGAUCAGCCACACUGGGACUGAGACACGGCCCAGACUCCUACGGGAGGAAGCAGUGGGGAAUAGUGGACAAUGGGCGAAAGCCUGAUCCAGCAAUGCCGCGUGAGUGAUGAAGGCCUUAGGGUUGUAAAGCUCUUUUAACCGGGAUGAUAAUGACAGUACCGGGAGAAUAAGCUCCGGCUAACUCCGUG
RNAcentral lists this ribosomal RNA (433 nucleotides) under uncultured bacterium. RNAcentral's name for it is "partial 16S ribosomal RNA". It matches the Rfam family "Bacterial small subunit ribosomal RNA", at positions 29 to 507 of the family's 1533-position model. The record is from RNAcentral.